Molecule: non-coding RNA, 70 nt
Organism: Myotis davidii
Lineage: Eukaryota; Metazoa; Chordata; Mammalia; Chiroptera; Vespertilionidae
Source: Rfam
GGUGGUUCUGGGGUGACGCACCCCGGAAUCGGGCUCUUUCUAGUUCCAGGUGUAUCACCCGAGAACUGCA